GAUGAACGCUGGCGGCGUGCCUAAUACAUGCAAGUCGAGCGAACAGACGAGGAGCUUGCUCCUCUGACGUUAGCGGCGGACGGGUGAGUAACACGUGGAUAACCUACCUAUAAGACUGGGAUAACUUCGGGAAACCGGAGCUAAUACCGGAUAAUAUAUUGAACCGCAUGGUUCAAUAGUGAAUGACGGUUUUGCUGUUACUUAUAGAUGGAUCCGCGCCGCAUUAGCUAGUUGGUAAGGUAACGGCCUACCAAGGCAACGAUGCGUAGCCGACCUGAGAGGGUGAUCAGCCACACUGGAACUGAGACACGGUCCAGACUCCUACGGGAGGCAGCAGUAGGGAAUCUUCCGCAAUGGGCGAAAGCCUGACGGAGCAACGCCGCGUGGGUGAUGAAGGUCUUCGGAUCGUAAAACUCUGUUAUUAGGGAAGAACAAAUGUGUAAGUAACUAUGCACGUCUUGACGGUACCUAAUCAGAAAGCCACGGCUAACUACGUG
RNAcentral lists this ribosomal RNA (497 nucleotides) under uncultured bacterium. RNAcentral's name for it is "partial 16S ribosomal RNA". It matches the Rfam family "Bacterial small subunit ribosomal RNA", at positions 28 to 507 of the family's 1533-position model. The record is from RNAcentral.